Marmota monax (woodchuck) is the source of this 1221-nucleotide long non-coding RNA. RefSeq lists it as uncharacterized. The record is from RefSeq and is a predicted model, not a curated record. The transcript has 2 exons. NCBI's taxonomy places the organism in Eukaryota, Metazoa, Chordata, Mammalia, Rodentia, Sciuridae.
CACCCUCAGAGGCUAGGCCCGGGAAAGCGCCCCAAGUGAAUGAAAAGCCCUCACUUUAUCACUUUGUGUCUGGUGGUACUGUGUCCAGAAGAGGGAGCUAUUGAGCUUGGCCUGGACCAAGGAAAUUCCAGCGAGACAAACACUGGGAGGCAUUGAGAAACACUUGGAAAUGCAAAGACGCAGAAUAAAGAUGGAAACAACUCAGACUUCAAGAGACAGACAGAAGAGCUCUACUCUGUUCUUCCUCUGAACUUGUAGCCAAUCUACCCACCCUAGUCUCUCCCACCUCAAUUCUAGAAACUCCUGGAAGCUUCAUUCUGGAAUUUGUUGGUACAAAUGGGCUUGUUGUGGGACUUACCCAGGCUGGACCAGGAUUAUUCUGUUUUUCGGCAGACACAACAUCUUUGUUUGUAUGUGGUGCUGAGGAUCGAACCCGGGCCGCAUGCAUGCCAGGCGAGCGCGCUACCACUUGAGCCACAUCCCCAGCCCGAAAAACUGUUCUUGACAAGACCUUUUCUGCCCUCCUGAAAUUUAUUUAAAUCCCAUGCACCCCCACAACCUGACCCCCUUACACACAGCCAGUCCUCUCCUGCUUAGAUCUCUACCUAUGAUCAGACUCCUAUGCCUAGCUACCAUACAUGGCUAGAGGAUACCCAAGUUAUAGACCCCUCUUUUCAGACCCUCCCCAUGUUCUUUCCCCACACUCAGGCCUUAAAGCUGCCCCUACAAUCCCCCACAGCUGAGGCCCCUCCCAUGCCCAGCCCUGCCCCCAUCCCUUAGGCCCCCAAGGUAGUUUCCCAAUGUCCCAGUACCUCUGCAUUCCAGGCCUUCCACACCUGCAACCCAGUCCAUCCUCCCCGAUGUCCCAGCCCCCACCCCACAUCAGGCACUCCCAUAGUCUUGCUAUUCCCCAAGGAACAGGGCCUUCCCAACUGCUGUCCCUCUCUCUGCUCAGGUCCCCACCUCAUACCCAGACUGCCCCAAGCCCUCUUCAGGCUAGACCCACUUAGGGCCCCCUCCAAAAGCCUUUGGAGGUUUGGUGGCAGCAAUGUGGCUAAUGAACCUGUCAAUUCAAAGACCAGGCACUGCGCAGGAAGACUUCAAACACCCUGGAAUCUUGCUGCUCAUUAUUGAAAACACUUAAUAGAGAUUUUCCCAAAUUUGACAACAUCCAAAACUUUUGAGACAUUAACAAUAAUAAAUGGUGAGGCUGAAAGCAAA